Molecule: long non-coding RNA, 668 nt
Organism: Helianthus annuus (common sunflower)
Lineage: Eukaryota; Viridiplantae; Streptophyta; Magnoliopsida; Asterales; Asteraceae
Exons: 5
Source: RefSeq, a predicted model, not a curated record
UCAACUUCACUAUUAACGAGUCACCUCUUAUUUGAUUUCGUUUGUUUCAGCAUCUUGGAGCUCAAUGCUUCUUCCGUAAAUCAUUGAAUUUCAAAUGUUAAUUGAUCACCAACUUCCUAUUUGAAGAUAACAAACCCUAAUUUUGAGCCAAUUUCAAUCAAGGCCUAAAUAUCAAACAUAAAGAAAGAUGCCACACAAGACGCGUCCAAUGGCUGCGGUUUUGCUGUUUACCGGGCUUAAUGUUGUUUUAGUUUCAACGAUUUCUCCGGUCUAUGACUUUGUCUGCUUUCUCCCGUAUUGGGAACGAAGGAGAGAACGCAGGCGUCUGGAGAGGGAAGCUACUCUAGCAUAGGGUCUCAUCAUGACAUUGAGAUGGAGGUAUUGUUACUAUCAGCAGCUGUUGAUCAUGUGAUCCUCACAAGUUCAAGAAAGAAGGUUUACCUUUUUUUGCUUUGGUGGGUAGUGAUGGUCCUCACUGGAUUAUAGCUGUUUGCAUCUUACUGUUUUUAUUCUUAUUUUAUCUUUUUUCCAUUUGGUUAUGAUGGUUUCUGAAACAUCCCUCUUUCUCAUGAGUUGGAGUGUACAAAUGAUUUAUGGAAAUUUGGAUGUAGAUGUAGUUAUUACCGUACCUAAUGCCACUUGCCCAGCACAAGCUGCGUUUUACCUAA